AACCAAGAACCCAAUUUAGAGAAGAGGUUAUCAGCUGUUCACUCGCAAUCUACCAACAGAAGGUUGCGCGGCGACGAGCUUGGGUGGUGUUGAGUCGAACCUUAAUUUUUGUGGGAUUUGCUUUGAACUCCGAGGGGCGUCGUGUCUUCAUACAUGGCGUCACUCUUACUCUUGAAUGCUUCUGCUGAAUUAUGAUUGUUUUUCUCCAUUAUGCUUUUGAACCUCUUUUCACUCUUGGAUCACUAAUUAUGAUAGCUGUUGACUUUGGAUUUAAAGCUUGAACAUUUACUCUGA
This is a long non-coding RNA of Salvia splendens (bonfire salvia), 294 nucleotides long. RefSeq lists it as uncharacterized. The transcript has 2 exons. The record is from RefSeq and is a predicted model, not a curated record. Lineage: Eukaryota; Viridiplantae; Streptophyta; Magnoliopsida; Lamiales; Lamiaceae.